This 162-nucleotide ribosomal RNA is filed under the name Flagellospora sp. RNAcentral's name for it is "partial large subunit ribosomal RNA". It matches the Rfam family "Eukaryotic large subunit ribosomal RNA", at positions 99 to 261 of the family's 3401-position model. Lineage: Eukaryota; Fungi; Ascomycota; Leotiomycetes; Leotiales; Leotiaceae. The record is from RNAcentral.
CGGCAACAGCUCAAAUUUGAAAUCUGCCCGCAAGGGCCGAGUUGUAAUUUGUAGAGGAUGUUUCGAGCUUGGUCCGGUCUAAGUUCCUUGGAACAGGACGUCAUAGAGGGUGAGAAUCCCGUAUGUGACUGGGUGCCUAUGCUCAUGUGAAACUCCUUCGAC